RNAcentral lists this long non-coding RNA (5571 nucleotides) under Anolis carolinensis (green anole). RNAcentral's name for it is "lncRNA (ENSACAG00000036754.1)". The record is from RNAcentral. Lineage: Eukaryota; Metazoa; Chordata; Lepidosauria; Squamata; Anolidae.
AACCACUCCUCCUGAUAGCAAUUGGUGACCAUUGAUCCUCCCAAUACCUAUUUCCUUUCCAAAAAGGCUCUGCUGUCAAAAGGGGAUGUCACGGAUACAGAGAUGGACUCAGGAUUCAUCCAAUAAAGAUUUUAUUAAGUUCGCUACCACACACUUUACACAAAUCAUGAACUGUAAAACAUGACAAGAAAGAAUGUGCUAUGAACCAAUAAGACCACAGAUCGUAACUUGUACCUAUCAGAGCAAUGUCUAUUAUUUUCAAAUAAGUAUAAAAUGUCAAUGUCUGCAAAUGGGAGGGAUGUCAGAUCAGGAAAAUUCCCCUGGCACUUUUCCUUGGCUACCAGAGCAAUAAAGCAAUCUCUGACUCUACCCUCAAACUCUGUGUAUCUUAAUUGGAAUCAAUUGGAGGUGGCACACCAGAUAAAGUCCAACAUCAACAAUGGAAUGGCUAAGGGAAGGACUAUCAUAGAAAAAUGAUGUGUCCUCAGAGCCCUUUGGACAUUGCAGAGGAAGGAAGAGAAUACCAGCAUACACAGAAUAGGCUUAAACCUGCAUCUGUCACUAACCCAGGCCCGGCCCAACACGGCACGCUGGCCACGCCCUCGCAUUGGGCGCCACCUUCCCAGGGGCGCUAUUGAGUUUGGAAAGGACUGCCCAGCUGAGCUGAAGUCCAGGCUGCUGGGGCUUGCCUCCUGGAGAUGCUUUGGAGGGCGCUGGGGCAAAGGAGCCUCGCUGAAGCUCUGGGCGAGCGCCCUUUGGGACAAAGCAGUGCCUCUCUUCCCCCGUUUGGCAGCAGAUGAGCCAGGUUGGACCUGCUUCGGCUUCCCUCCCCUUUGCCUUUACAGCUGGAGAGCCAGGGCUGCCUGCACAUGCAAAAUGGAAAGGACACACGAAGUGGGAAAGGCCGGGUGGAUCUCUCCUACUUGUUCAGGAUGGGCUCCCAUUGGCUAUUUGGCGCUGUUUCAGCCGAUACUGGCCUCCCUCCCUCUCCCGUGCCUGGAAGCCACGCCCCCUCCUGUUGCUUUCCUCCAUUAGCAGCAGCCAGGCCAGCAACGCGUGCCCUGCGAGGGCCUGCUUGCCUCCAUUGGGAGAUUGGGUCACAGAUUAAUACCUGGAAGCAGUGCUUUGGCUAUGAAUCCAGCUGUGCUCUUCACAGAAGUUACAAGCAUUCAUCUUUGCAAACAAGAAGAGAUGGGACUGGCUUCAGUAUUGGAAAGAAACACAUCUUAACAUGAUCUGCAAUAAGCAAUGUAUGAUAUGCUGUAAACCCAAUGGUGUAUAGCCAGUUGCAUUUUUGCAGAUAUUUGAUUUUAACAGUUUGAGCAUCCCUUAUGUUGAUGUCCAAAAUCUAAAAUGCUACAAAAUCCAAAACUGUCCACAUGAAUGGCUGAGAUAGUGACAUCUGCUGGUUCACAGUACACAAACUUUGUUUCAUGCACAAAAAUAUUAUUAAAAUAUUGUAUAAAAUCUCCAUGGGGCUACAAGUAUAAGGUGUAUAUGAAGUGUAAAUAAAUUUUAUGUUUAAACUUGAAUCCUAACUCCAAGAUAUUUCAUUGUGUAUUUAUAUAUAAAUACAAAUAUUACGCAAUUGGGGGGGGGGGGGGUGCCAAAAUACAAAACAUUUUGGGGCCCAAGUAUUUUUGAUAAAUCUGGGAUUUUGCACAGUGGAACUAUUUUGCUCUCUAUACAAAAAGUGCUAGAUUUUGAGCAAUGCUCUAUGUGCCACUUUCACUCAUGUACACAUAUCAAGCCCAUUUAGAAUGAUGUAAGUUGCUCCGAGAGAAGAAAGGGAUACUGUUUUUCAAUGAGGGGGAAUUUGGCUACAAGCCAUGGACAUCCCACAUUCCUUAUGUUGCUAGUCCUCAGGAUAGAACGUUUUUUAUGGAAAGCUCUAUCACAAAGAACCAGAAAUUACCCCCAUAUCCACUCCUAAUUCAGUACCAAGCAGCUGAGGCAAUGCCUUGGUUUCAGAAAUGUAUCUUGUGAUCUUUCUGCAGUUGAUGCUUUAGAUUGAUUCAUUUUUGUGGGAAAAUUAAUUAUGAAACCAUUUAAAAAUAUAAAUGAAAUUGUCACAAUUUUAAAUUGUGCAAUAAAAUCUGUAUCUGUAAAUAUAUUCCUGGGAUCAAACAAAUACAUUUUAAUGCUGUCCUCAGCAAGAACCACCCCAGUGUAGUGAUUUUAUGACGACUCUGGGGAAAACCUUAAUGUGUUGUUGAACAACAGUACUCACCCACCUCAAAGAAUGUAUAAUUCACCAAGAAACAAUAAAUAAAUAUAUGAUUUUUUUCCUUUAAAAAAAUUAAAAACCUUUCCUGGAGGUCCAGAGUUGAGCAAGUUCAAGGCUUUAGAAGAUCGGGAAUAAACCCAGUAGCAGCUGUGCCCCCAUGAACUAUUGUGCCUAACCCUUUAAUAAAGUAUAUCGGUUUUUCAUUUUUUUUGUAACUUGUAUCUUUCAAACUGUGUACUCUAUCUACUUCUUACACAAAAUGUAUAUAAACCACUUCUUAGAAGAGUACCAAAAUGUAGCUUCUGGACACCUUCCAGCUUGUCAAUAUCUCUUUUAAAUGGUGGUACCAAGUAUUCCAGGUGAGGUCUAACCAAAACAGAAAGGCACAAUGACUUCCCUCCAUCUAGACGUUAUACUCCUUUUGAUGUAGCCCAAAAUCCCAUUGGCUUUUUUAGGUGCUACAUCACACUGCUGGCUCAUGUUCAACUUAUCAUCCAUGAAGACUCCAAGAUCUUUUUCACAUGUAUAAAGAUACCCAUCCUGUAUCUUUGCAUUUCAUUUUUUCUGCCUAAGUGUAGUAUCUUACAUUUGUCCUUGUUGAAAUUCUUUUUGUUAGUUUUGGCCCAACUCUCUAAUCUGUUAAGGUCAUGUUGAAUUCUGAUCCUGAAUUCCUACCUAUCCCUCCUAAUUUAGUUUCAUCUGCAAAUUUGGUAAGCAUGAGCUCUAAACCUUCAUCCAAGUCAUUAAUGAAGAUGUUGAGCAGAACUGGGCUGAGGACUGAAACCUGCGGCACUCCACUAAUCACUCCUUUACAGGAUGAAGAAGAACCAAUGGUGAGCACUCUUUGGGUUUGGUUGCUUAACUAAUUACAAAUCCACCUAACAAGUAGCAUUUCCUAGCCCACAUUUGACUAGCUUGUUUGCAAGAAGGCCAUGGGGAAAACUUUUGAAGACCUUACUGAAAUCAAGAUAUGCUACAUCUACAGCAUUCCCUGCAUCUACCAAGCUUGUAACUCUAUCAAAAAAAGAGGUAAGAUUAGUCUGGUAUGACUUGUUUUUGAGAAAUCCAUUAUGACAGCAUUCCUUUCCAAGUGAUUGCAGACUGCUUCUUAAUUAUCUGCUCCAGAAUCUUUUCUGGUAUUGAUGUCAGGCUGACUGAAUGGUAAUUGUUUGGGUCCUCUUUUUUCCCUUCUUGAAGUUAAGGACAAUAUUUGUCAGUGGUUCUGAAAUGACUUCUGCUAUCUCCUUCAAUACUCUUGGUCUGGCCAUGGAGACUUGAAUUCAUUUAGAGUAGCCAGGUAUUCCAGGACUACUUCUUUACCUAUUUUGGGUUGCAUUUCCCCUAUUGCCUCAUCCACUUCAUAUGGCUCAAGUUGAAUGCCAAUCUCCUUUUGGGAGAAGACUACAGCAAAGGAGGUGUUGAGCAGCUCUGCCUUUUCCCUAUCCACUGUUAGCAUUUUACCACCUUAUCCAUGCCGAGGCCCUGCUGUUUCCCUUUUCGUCUUUUUUCUACUGACAUAGCCAGAGAACCCCUUUUUAAUCUCUUUUUAAUCUCUCUGACAAGCCUAAGCUCAUUUUGCACUUUAGCCUUAUGAACCUUUUCCCUACAUAUGUUGGUUAUUUGUUUGAAUUCCUCUUUGGUGAUUUCCCCCCUUUUCCGUUUUUUGUACAUGCCUCUUUAAAAUCUUAGCUCAGUCAAAAUUUCUUUCGUCAUCCAUUCUGGUUGUUUUAUGCUUCUCUUAUUAUUAUUUUUCUCCUUGCUGGCACUGUUUGCAAUUGUGCCUUGGUUAUCUCACUUUUAAGAAACUCCCAUCCAUCAUUAACUGCCUUCCAUUUUAGUAUUCCUGUCUGUGGAAUCUUGCUCAGAUACUGGAGUUCUUGAAGGUUAAGCUGGGAUAGUAACAAGUCUAGUCUAAAAUUAGAAGCAUGAAAUCCAAACUACAAACAGGGAAGUGCGAGCCAAUGCUGAAGUCCAAAGUCCAAUUAGCAGAAAUCAAGCCAGAAAAGCAACAAAUUCAAGUCAGGGUUAUAUGAAAGCCAAGAUCACAGUCCAGAAUCAGAAAUGCUGGUAGUCCAAAAAGCAGCAGAGUUAGAUUUCAAGACAAGAAACAACAAGGUUAACCAAAGUUACAGCAUCACAGUACAGCAUCAAAAAUGCCAGGAGUCAGAAGAGUCAGAAAUGUUAUUUGUCAGAGACCUGGGGUCAAAAACCAGAGUUCUUGAAAACAAGCGGAGCGGUAGUAGUGGCAGCAUCCAGAACAAGAACAUAAUGUUGUCUGCCACUCAGAGCCACUCCUUGGAGAGCAUUUUAUCAUGAGAUUUCAGCCCGUACUUGUUUCACCAUCCUUUCACAGCUAAUUUCUGAGAUCUGUGAUAUCUUCUCUGUUUCAAAGAAGAAGGUAUGGUUAACUUGUCACUGGCUUUCUCAAAAUACUGAGGAGCUUCUUUAUCUGCUUCUGCUGAAGGCUCACAGUAGGUGAGCUAGGUCAGACAGACUGUUGAGAGCUGCUGGCUAUGAUUGCUGGAUUGAUUUAGAUUGAUGUAGAACUAUCUAUAUUUUGAGUUUCAUGCAGUGCUUGGAUUAUGAAUGAAAACUUCACAGUCACAAUGCCCACACCAAUAUAAACAGCACAAUUGCAAAAAUCUGUAAUGUAAUUUUCCUCGUGCAAAUGCAAUUAUGCUUCCUGCAAAAGUUUUCCUUCAUCUUUUUACUGUUUCUCUUACACAAUUACAGAUUGCUUAUGCUGGUCUUUUUCCUUUGCUGACUUUGUCCAGAUAAUUCCCUCUUCCAACAAGGAUUUCCUAAGUUCCUACUUUCCUCCAUUAUUACCAUAAAAUCUCUUACUGUAAUAUAAAUUGUAUGUUCUUGCUUUGGUUCCCUUUGGGAACUGACAGAUACAUGCUGGUAACAAUUUUUUUCAAAAAUGAAUGUAAUAUCCCUUCCCUCACAGAGUGUUUUAAGAUAAUGGGUUUUAAUUUACGAAAUUAAAAAGCACUUAAAUAUAAAGUCUACAAAUAUAUCAAAUGACAUCAUCAGAUAUAGUAGGGAUAAGAUGAACUCUAAUAUCAUACCAAAGCUAGCUUGCUUGCUUGCUUCCUUCCUUCCUUCCUUCCUUCCUUCCUUCCUUCCUUCCUUCCUUCCUUCCUUCCUUGAAUAUGCACUUCAACAUCCACAAUAUGGGCCCAAAAACCUGUCCUGAAUUUAUACAUAACACUCAUUUGUACACGAGUACCGGUAUAUAUACAUAAUACAGAUAAAUGGUGUAACUACACUGUAGAAUUAAAGCAGGUUGACACCACUUUAUCUGCCAUAGUUCAAUGCUAUGGAAUCAUAGAAGUUGCAGC